AGCAUGGUCUUAGCUUGCUAAGGCCGAUGGCGACCGGCGCACGGGUGAGUAACACGUAUCCAACCUGCCGUCUACUCUUGGACAGCCUUCUGAAAGGAAGAUUAAUACAAGAUGUUAUCAUGAGUAAGCAUUUUCGCAUGAUUAAAGGUAUUCCGGUAGACGAUGGGGAUGCGUUCCAUUAGAUAGUUGGUGGGGUAACGGCCUACCAAGGCUACGAUCGGUAGGGGUUCUGAGAGGAAGGCCCCCACAAUGGGACUGAGACACGGCCCAUACUCC
RNAcentral lists this ribosomal RNA (276 nucleotides) under uncultured Bacteroides sp. RNAcentral describes it as "partial 16S ribosomal RNA". It matches the Rfam family "Bacterial small subunit ribosomal RNA", at positions 68 to 339 of the family's 1533-position model. Lineage: Bacteria; Pseudomonadati; Bacteroidota; Bacteroidia; Bacteroidales; Bacteroidaceae. The record is from RNAcentral.